GUGGUUGAUGUCGGUUCCACGUCUAGACGGUUUUCGCCAUGGAAAGUCGUUGAAAAUGCCCGUUUCGUCGCGGAUUGAAAAUCCGCGUGUCACUGGUUCGAUUCCGGUCCUGGGCACCA
RNAcentral lists this transfer RNA (119 nucleotides) under Rhizobium sp. BK512. RNAcentral's name for it is "tRNA-OTHER". Lineage: Bacteria; Pseudomonadati; Pseudomonadota; Alphaproteobacteria; Hyphomicrobiales; Rhizobiaceae. The record is from RNAcentral.